GACGAACGCUGGCGGCGUGCUUAACACAUGCAAGUCGAACGAAGAGCGACGGAAGCUUGCUUCUAUCAAUCUUAGUGGCGAACGGGUGAGUAACGCGUAAUCAACCUGCCCUUCAGAGGGGGACAACAGUUGGAAACGACUGCUAAUACCGCAUACGAUCUAACCUCGGCAUCGAGGAUAGAUGAAAGGUGGCCUCUACAUGUAAGCUCUCACUGAAGGAGGGGAUUGCGUCUGAUUAGCUAGUUGGAGGGGUAACGGCCCACCAAGGCGAUGAUCAGUAGCCGGUCUGAGAGGAUGAACGGCCACAUUGGGACUGAGACACGGCCCAGACUCCUACGGGAGGCAGCAGUGGGGAAUCUUCCGCAAUGGACGAAAGUCUGACGGAGCAACGCCGCGUGAGUGAUGACGGCCUUCGGGUUGUAAAGCUCUGUUAAUCGGGACGAAAGGCCUUCUUGCGAAUAGUGAGAAGGAUUGACGGUACCGGAAUAGAAAGCCACGGCUAACUACGUG
RNAcentral lists this ribosomal RNA (510 nucleotides) under uncultured bacterium. Its description in RNAcentral is "partial 16S ribosomal RNA". It matches the Rfam family "Bacterial small subunit ribosomal RNA", at positions 28 to 507 of the family's 1533-position model. The record is from RNAcentral.